RNAcentral lists this ribosomal RNA (269 nucleotides) under uncultured prokaryote. RNAcentral's name for it is "partial 16S ribosomal RNA". It matches the Rfam family "Bacterial small subunit ribosomal RNA", at positions 524 to 792 of the family's 1533-position model. The record is from RNAcentral.
UACGGAGGAUGCAAGCGUUAUCCGGAUUUAUUGGGUUUAAAGGGUGCGUAGGCGGAAUAAUAAGUCAGUGGUGAAAUCUUGCGGCUCAACCGUAAAAUUGCCUCUGAUACUGUUAUUCUUGAGUGCAGUUGAGGUAGGCGGAAUGUGUAAUGUAGCGGUGAAAUGCAUAGAUAUUACACAGAACACCAAUUGCGAAGGCAGCUUACUAAACUGUAACUGACGCUGAGGCACGAAAGCGUGGGGAGCAAACAGGAUUAGAUACCCCCGUA